AUGCCAUCUGAAAGGAGAAAAGGUUAGCACUCCCACUGAUGUGGAUGGAGGAGGUCCUCUUGUCCUUCAGUACACAUAGUUAAAGCACUGCCACCUCUUCUAUCUCAGCGCUAAACAGUUUUGA
Molecule: small nuclear RNA, 124 nt
Organism: Scleropages formosus (Asian bonytongue)
Lineage: Eukaryota; Metazoa; Chordata; Actinopteri; Osteoglossiformes; Osteoglossidae
Source: Ensembl